Molecule: unclassified non-coding RNA, 1004 nt
Filed under: Hevea brasiliensis (rubber tree)
Lineage: Eukaryota; Viridiplantae; Streptophyta; Magnoliopsida; Malpighiales; Euphorbiaceae
Source: RNAcentral
GAAAACAGUAAACUACUUUAAUUUAUCAUAAACAACACCUGUCGCUCUAAUAAGAAAAUAGCGUCAAAGAACAGAAGAGAAACCUACAGUAAAUAAUUACACACAACCAAACACCUCCUCGACCUACAUAUAAGGACACAAGGAGCAUAAACCAGUAGGUAAUACAAAGUUUCAGUCACUUCCGUUUACAUCAGUCUACAUGAUUGUCGCUUCUGAUGCAGUUAUAAUUGCCUCAGUGUUUGCUUGCAUACCGCUGGCCAAAUAAGUAUUACCUCCGUCGGCGUUUGGACUCAACCUUUAUAUCAGCAUGUCUUGAAGUAGCAUGAGAAUUUAGCAAUUUCUUCUGAUCUUCAGAUGAACAAUUUUGGCAAAAGAAGUGGUCAAGUCUCUUGGCUUCCUCUGGCGUCAUGUCUAUACAAGUAGGGUGAAACCAGUCACUGCAGCCCUCACAUUGAACCAUGAGGUCAUCAGGAUUGUAUGGCAUUUCACAUUUACAGUACACAGCAACUCUGUCAGGAUUAAAUGCUCCGGUAGAAGAAUUGUAGUCAAAUCGGCAAAAGAAGUCUUCGUUCCCAACAGCGUCGAGUUUGGUGUAGCUCUUGAAUGUGUGGACCGUACACUUGCCUUCAAUUGUGUCGGCACUUUGUAUAUCUCGGUGAUCGGACAUAAAAAGUUCCUUGGAGCCGUGAAACUGACGUCGGCCGCCGAUCGACUCCUCCGGACGGUAGUACCACCGGACGUGAACCCUGACGUUGCCACCUCUAUUGUCGGACUCAAUCUUCUCAACUCGAGCAACGUACGACGGCUUUGACGACUCCGACGCUCUCAUCAACACGCAGUCGCCGGCUCGAACGGUCUUGUUGAUGGAUUUGACAGUGUAAGAAUCUAGGGUUCGACGAUUUGUACGAGUUUUAGCCAUGGACUGAAGGAGGAGUGUGUAACACUACAAAAGUCAUGCGCCUGAAACAGCAAACAGUGCAGGAAGAACAAACAGGAGAGAGAUA